UGGGGAAUAUUGGACAAUGGGCGAAAGCCUGAUCCAGCCAUGCCGCGUGUGUGAAGAAGGUCUUCGGAUUGUAAAGCACUUUAAGUUGGGAGGAAGGGCAGUAUGUUAAUACCUUGCUGUUUUGACGUUACCGACAGAAUAAGCACCGGCUAACUCUGUGCCAGCAGCCGCGGUAAUACAGAGGGUGCAAGCGUUAAUCGGAAUUACUGGGCGUAAAGCGCGCGUAGGUGGUUUGUUAAGUUGGAUGUGAAAGCCCCGGGCUCAACCUGGGAACUGCAUCCAAAACUGGCAGGCUAGAGUACGGUAGAGGGUGGUGGAAUUUCCUGUGUAGCGGUGAAAUGCGUAGAUAUAGGAAGGAACACCAGUGGCGAAGGCGACCACCUGGACUGAUACUGACACUGAGGUGCGAAAGCGUGGGGAGCAAACA
RNAcentral lists this ribosomal RNA (427 nucleotides) under uncultured bacterium. RNAcentral's name for it is "partial 16S ribosomal RNA". It matches the Rfam family "Bacterial small subunit ribosomal RNA", at positions 355 to 774 of the family's 1533-position model. The record is from RNAcentral.